Mustela putorius furo (domestic ferret) is the source of this 144-nucleotide non-coding RNA. Lineage: Eukaryota; Metazoa; Chordata; Mammalia; Carnivora; Mustelidae. The record is from Rfam.
AGCUUUGCGCAGUGGCAGUAUCGUAGCCAAUGAGGUUUAUCCGAGGCGCGAUUAUUGCUAAUUGAAAGUUUUCAUCAAAUUUGGAAAACAUUGGUCGUUAUUUCUUCCUAUGUUCUUUCAGUUGUCCUCUCUCAUAUUUCAGGG